RNAcentral lists this unclassified non-coding RNA (328 nucleotides) under soil metagenome. Its description in RNAcentral is "partial contains 5.8S ribosomal RNA, internal transcribed spacer 2, and large subunit ribosomal RNA". The stretch from base 1 to 120 matches the Rfam family "5.8S ribosomal RNA", at positions 35 to 154 of the family's 154-position model. The record is from RNAcentral.
GAUGAAGAACGUAGCGAAAUGCGAUAAGUAAUGUGAAUUGCAGAAUUCUGUGAAUCAUCGAAUCUUUGAACGCACAUUGCGCCCCUUGGUAUUCCGAGGGGCAUGCCUGUUCGAGCGUCAUUAUAACCCCUCAAGCUCAGCUUGGUAUUGGGGCCUGCCAUCCUGGCAGCCCUUAAAAUCAGUGGCGGUGCCAUCCGGCUCUAAGCGUAGUAACUCCUCUCGCUAUGGAGUCCUGGUGGAUGCUUGCCAUUAAUCUUUUAACUUCUAUGGUUGACCUCGGAUCAGGUAGGGAUACCCGCUGAACUUAAGCAUAUCAAUAAGCGGAGGA